GGAAGUGUCAAUAUUAUCUAGGGAGUGAUUAAAGGAAGGAGGAAAAGACCAUAAAGGAUUCAGGUGGAGUUAGGAAAGCAGGCUUGAAGUGUGGGAACAAACAGAAUUUUGGAAUGACAAGAAAAGUAAGCAGAGAUGAAGAGUGAGUACAGCCAGUUUUGAAUCAGAAUAUAUCAGAAUAUAAUUUUUCAAAGAGAAUGGAAAGGAUUGAACCCUGAAGGUAGAAAAAAGGAAUGUAAGAAAGGAUAAAUUGGAUGACUCCUGACUUUUUUUUUUUUUUUAGUAGGCCCUAGGAAAUAGUACAUAACCAUAUAAAUUGCCCUCAGUUCUCCCUGCCCUAGGCAAGUACUAAUCUAAUAUAAGUAUAGAAGUCUGAGACCCUAGGUUUAAUACUUGGCACUGCAACAACAAACGAAGACAAAACAAAAAACUUGAGAGAUCAGUUAAAAAGAAAGAAAAGAACUUAAGACCACUGCAGGCAGGGUUUGGAUGGGAAGAGGGGAUAUGUAUUAUGAGCAGGUGACCAGCAUGAACAAAGAUUUGGGCUUGGAACAAGCAUGGUGUAUGCUGCAUUUUCAGGGACCUGAUCCAUGGGCUUGGAGUGGAGGAUUCUGGUGGCAGAAUAUGCAAGAUAAUGAAACUAGGUUCUAGGGGUUUGGGGAUGAAUAGAAGAAGUUAGACUUUUUAUAUAUGUGAAUUCUUUUUUUUUUUCUUUUUGUUACUAGGGAUUGAAUGCAG
This 738-nucleotide long non-coding RNA is filed under the name Marmota monax (woodchuck). Lineage: Eukaryota; Metazoa; Chordata; Mammalia; Rodentia; Sciuridae. The record is from RNAcentral.